AGAGUUUGAUCAUGGCUCAGGAUGAACGCUAGCGGCAGGCUUAAUACAUGCAAGUCGAGGGGCAGCAGGACUGUAGCAAUACAGUUGCUGGCGACCGGCAAACGGGUGCGGAACACGUAUGCAACCUACCCAAAACUGGGGAAUAGCCCGGGGAAACCCGGAUUAAUACCUCGUAACCUAUUGGAGUGGCAUCACUUUAAUAGUAUAGCUCCGGCGGUUUUGGAUGGGCGUGCGCCUGAUUAGGUAGUUGGUGAGGGUAACGGCCCACCAAGCCUGCGAUCAGUAACUGGUGUGAGAGCACGACCAGUCACACGGGCACUGAGACACGGGCCCGACUCCUACGGGAGGCAGCAGUAAGGAAUAUUGGUCAAUGGACGCAAGUCUGAACCAGCCAUGCCGCGUGAAGGAUGAAGGUCCUCUGGAUUGUAAACUUCUUUUAUAUGGGACGAAACCCGGGAAUUCUUUCCCGAUUGACGGUACCAUAAGAAUAAGCACCGGCUAACUCCGUGCCAGCCGCCGCGGUAAUAC
RNAcentral lists this ribosomal RNA (528 nucleotides) under uncultured bacterium. RNAcentral's name for it is "bacterial SSU rRNA". It matches the Rfam family "Bacterial small subunit ribosomal RNA", at positions 8 to 526 of the family's 1533-position model. The record is from RNAcentral.